Molecule: ribosomal RNA, 424 nt
Filed under: uncultured bacterium
Lineage: Bacteria
Description: bacterial SSU rRNA
Rfam family: Bacterial small subunit ribosomal RNA
Source: RNAcentral
UAAGGAAUAUUGGUCAAUGGACGCAAGUCUGAACCAGCCAUGCCGCGUGCAGGAUGAAGGCGCUAUGCGUCGUAAACUGCUUUUGUACGGGAAGAAACCCCUUUACGUGUAGAGGGUUGACGGUACUGUAAGAAUAAGGAUCGGCUAACUACGUGCCAGCAGCCGCGGUAAUACGUAGGAUCCAAGCGUUAUCCGGAUUUAUUGGGUUUAAAGGGUGCGUAGGCGGAUUGAUAAGUCAGUGGUGAAAGCCUGCAGCUUAACUGCAGAACUGCCAUUGAUACUGUCGAUCUUGAGUACAUUUGAGGUGGGCGGAAUGUGUCAUGUAGCGGUGAAAUGCUUAGAUAUGACACAGAACACCGAUUGCGAAGGCAGCUCACUAAACUGUAACUGACGCUGAGGCACGAAAGCAUGGGUAGCAAACAGG